RNAcentral lists this ribosomal RNA (422 nucleotides) under Pholcus phalangioides (longbodied cellar spider). Its description in RNAcentral is "partial 16S ribosomal RNA". It matches the Rfam family "Bacterial large subunit ribosomal RNA", at positions 1800 to 2574 of the family's 2925-position model. The record is from RNAcentral. Lineage: Eukaryota; Metazoa; Arthropoda; Arachnida; Araneae; Pholcidae.
CUGUUUUAUCAAAAACAUUUCUUUAAGAAGUAAUUUAAAGUAAAGCCUGCUCAAUGACAAGAAUAAAUAGCCGCAGUAUUACUGUGCUAAGGUAGCAUAAUAACUUGCUUCUUAAUUAGGAGAUCGCAUGAAGGGUUAUACAUUAGGAUCCUGUCUCUUUUAACCAAAUAAACUUAAGUAAAAAGUAAAAACUCUUUUAACCAAAGCGGGACGACAAGACCCUGACAAACUUAACAUUUAGUUGGGGAAACAAAAUAAUAAAUAUUUAUUCAUAACUUAAACAUAACUUUAAAAUAAAAACAAGACUAGUUACUGCAGGGAUAACAGCGUUAUUUCUUUUAAGAGCUCUGAUCUAAAAAGAAGAUUACGACCUCGAUGUUGAAUUAAUUCCGCUAUACGGGUGCAACAACCCUAUAAGGUAG